This 1409-nucleotide long non-coding RNA is filed under the name Heterocephalus glaber (naked mole-rat). RNAcentral's name for it is "lncRNA (ENSHGLG00100040223.1)". The record is from RNAcentral. Lineage: Eukaryota; Metazoa; Chordata; Mammalia; Rodentia; Bathyergidae.
UUCGAAUACAACACAUUCAUGGCAGUGGAAGGGCAGUGCAGGGCGCUUCUAGAGGUGCUAAGUUGCAUUUUAAAUAAGCGGGAGGAGUUCUCUAACAAGGGACUUCCCGAACCGGCCGCUGACUCGCAACUUUCCCUGUAGCUCUCAGACUCCUGUCGUUCUUCCCCACUCCGCGUGUGCAGACGGCUGAUCGCAGUGGUAGAAACGGCCAUCCUGCAACGGCACUUGCUGGAUCACAGGCACGCAGCAAAGCGCUUCGAGGCAGACACUGUGGUAGCCCCUUCAUCAGGGGCAACGAGGGGAGAGACUGGGUCCUCUGAGUGACCUCAUCACCACCAACAGAAAAACAAGGAAACUAGCAGGCGUUGGCUCAUAGAGACAGCAUUACUUUUAUGCCUCGAGACAGCACAUUCAUGGGGCGAUUUCAUCUUGGCAUUGCUGUUUGGUAACCAAACAGUGGCUCUGCCUCUGUGUCGCCUUGGAACUGCUUGGGAAAACAGAAUUCUUUUCUUUGGAAUUCUCUGCUCUUCGUACACACACACACACACACACACACACUCACACACACAUACACACACUCACACACACACACUUUCCCUCCACACAAAAUCAAAUACAUGACUUUAUACUGAGUUAGAAUUUAUUUUUCCUUACAUCAAAUGCCAUAGGUAUGUUAAAUGUUUCAGGAAAGAUAUGGGUGGCUUAGCAGCUUCAAAGGACUGUGUGUAGGGAGAAGGCAUUUUAACCUCCAGGGAAGCAAGACUGUGCCUUAGAACAGUGUGGUUACAGUGGUCACUUAAAACAGCGGAGGCAGCAGAGCCCCUGCAUCCUGAACCUCUGCUGCCCUGGUGCACACUAGCCUGGCUUUCACUCAGGCUUUCUCUAAGCAGUGACACCUGCUUUGCCCAUGAAUGAAGCAAACCUGACAUUCAGGAAAUUCACAUCUAUCAGAGGAACUCCGAACCAAUGACAGACCAUUGGUGUGUAGACUGAAUACCCGUGCUUCCUGAAAUAAAACCCGCAGUGACUUUACUAAAGCACAAUGGUUUAUUAUCUCUCACAGUUCUGUAGGUCAGAAAUUCGGGAAGGCUGGGCUGUUUAGUCUUCAGUUGGGAGCCAGAGGAUUGGAAAGCUUGAGGAGGUGUCCCUCUACCUUCUGGGACUUGGGUGUUCUGUGAGGGGGCCUCUUGCUUCCCACAUGGCAAGGAAGUCUAGAUUCUUCACAAGGUGGCAACUGGCCUCCUCAGAGAGCACAGAUGUGAAGUGUCCAAGAGACUGGUGACCUCUCUUCCACCAUCUUCCUCUGAUCAGAGAACAGCCUGGGGGCCUUGGUCCGGGGAAGGAGGAGGAGACCCCACUUUUUGUGAUGAGAAACAGCUGGCCUGUGCCUCCUGUGGGGAGCAGUGGUG